RNAcentral lists this ribosomal RNA (496 nucleotides) under uncultured bacterium. RNAcentral's name for it is "partial 16S ribosomal RNA". It matches the Rfam family "Bacterial small subunit ribosomal RNA", at positions 29 to 507 of the family's 1533-position model. The record is from RNAcentral.
AUGAACGCUGGCGGCGUGCCUAAUACAUGCAAGUCGAGCGAACAGACGAGGAGCUUGCUCCUCUGACGUUAGCGGCGGACGGGUGAGUAACACGUGGAUAACCUACCUAUAAGACUGGGAUAACUUCGGGAAACCGGAGCUAAUACCGGACAAUAUAUUGAACCGCAUGGUUCAAUAGUGAAAGACGGUUUUGCUGUCACUUAUAGAUGGAUCCGCGCCGCAUUAGCUAGUUGGUAAGGUAACGGCUUACCAAGGCAACGAUGCGUAGCCGACCUGAGAGGGUGACCGGCCACACUGGAACUGAGACACGGUCCAGACUCCUACGGGAGGCAGCAGUAGGGAAUCUUCCGCAAUGGGCGAAAGCCUGACGGAGCAACGCCGCGUGAGUGAUGAAGGUCUUCGGAUCGUAAAACUCUGUUAUUAGGGAAGAACAAAUGUGUAAGUAACUAUGCACGUCUUGACGGUACCUAAUCAGAAAGCCACGGCUAACUACGUG